AACUGUUCUUAUCUACACAGCGAGCAGGUCCUCUUCUACAGAGUCCGCCAUGUUGAACAUGUUUCUACAGUGGCCCAGAAUGGACAAACCAAAGGAUGGCUCUAGAUAGGGCAUUUUGUGUAUUUUGCAGGUUUCACAGCCACCAUAGUUUUUGCUGCACACUUGGAAGGCUGAGCUGUAUUCAAAUGGUUGCAAUCUUCAACUUCACCACUGGAUGCCACUGAAUCUUACACACUGGUCUUUUAAAUUGAAACAUCAAAUAAAACAACUAUAAUGAAAUAAAAACCCCAAUAUGAAAAUAAGAAAGACAACAUAACAUUUCAUAAUGAUGACUUGAUUCUUAAUUGUUUUGAUGUAUUGGUUUAUUUUGUAUGUAAUAAUAACAAUAAUAUUAUUUAAUACUGAGUCUUGUUAAUUAAAAUGUAGCAGUCCUAGAAAGGCAGUCAGUCUUUUUAUUGUAUUCCUAAACAUUCAUCUAACAUUUUUUGCUUGAAGGUUUAUCUUUGUUUAUCUUUAUCUCUCACCGGAAACUGUCUUUCAACCCGUGUCUCGAGUUCCUUAUCACAUGAUGGAGAUCAGUUGUCAUGGAGACGUUUCGGUUUCAUUGGACAAGUUUUUUUGUGUCGGUGUCUCAUAGCGAAAUGGGGGAAAAAUACAUGUUGUUUUAUGAAUAAAUAAAUAAAUAAAAUCUAUACAGCAGAGCUCGGUGUAGCUAUCGCCCCGGUUACUGUCCCUAAAAGUCCCCGACUACAUUCCCCACAAUGCAACGCGACCACGUCUUUACGCUCCUGUGUUUACGUUUAGCGGUCACGUUCUCCAAUUGCUGGAGCAGACUUUUGGUCACUGUACAGACCACUCAGAAAUGGUGGCGGUCGUCAGUGUAUAAUUCCUCGUUUCUCUCACACUGUGGUUGUUUUUCUAUUUGUGUAACGAUGCCGGGGAUGUGCUCUGUGCCCGGCUGUAAGGGCUACAAGAAGGCCCGGUCCCGGGGAGUCGUGUUCCACUCUCUGCCUACAAGAGACCCGGGGCGGUGCAGAAAGUGGUUAAAGGCCAUACAGAACCCCAAAUUUGACGAAAACACACCAGUAAGUAAAUACGGGAAUAUACGAGUAUGUAGCCAGCAUUUUAAACCGGAAGACUACGAACCGGACAUACAGGCAGAACUUAUGAAAACAACGCCCCGAAAAAUCCUCAAGUCCAACGUGAUCCCGUCUGUUUUCUCUGGAAGACAACAAGAGGUCCUCAGCACCUCUCUGCCAGCAGAGGACAGUACCCCAGCAGAGGUGAAGACUCCCAGUACAGCUGCUCAAACCUCCACCUCAGUGGUUUCAGGCUCCAGUAUGGACGGUGUGUUGCGAUGGGCCUCUGCGUUAACCUCAGCUCCGAGGGCGUCAUCACAGGUUUCUUCCUUUGGUGUUCAAGUCACUGAUGUGGAUACUGCAUCACUUUCUCCUUCGCUGUCGAUUCCUAUUACUUCAGGAGCUCCAAGCACAUCACCCCAGUCCCCUCCACAAGCUGAACUCAAUGAAAGUUUGAGCAGCGUUGCAUCUGUGGAUGGUGUGAGUGAGAGCUUCCACCAAGAGACUGAAUUAAACACAACCGCAACGUCAAAAUCAGGCAAGAACACAGAAAAGGACUUCAAAGACUCAAAGUCAAAGACUAUUGUGAAUGACAGCUGCUUGAUGGAGCUGUUUAAGAAGUGUCAGACAUGUGGGCAGCCCAUAACAAGAAAGAAGGUGUCUCACUGCGGUGCACAGAAGAAGGUGAGGUGGAGCUGCCUUGGUGGCCACAGGGGCAUAUGGAUGUCUUCACCUCACCUUUGGGAGGCAUUUCCUGAAAUCCACCUUUUUGCUGCUCUUUCCGUUCUUUUUUCUGGAGGCACCUUUACACAAUUUAAAAAGUGGGCCAAACAUCUGCACCUGAAUUUCAUGGGGCAUAAAACCUUUUUUGAAAUUCAAAAGGCAUACCUCAGCCCAGAAAUGAAACAGAUGAACAGGACUGAGCAGGGAGGGGCCUUUGCAAAGGGGGUCCACCAACAACCUGGAGGCACUCUUCUUCACAUUUCAGAUCCUCUGAAGAAAAUGAAGGCCAAGUCGAGGAGAAGAGAGAAGGGAGUUCUGUCAUCAUGGUUAAGUUAUGAAAAGAGAUCCUCAAUAUCGCUGACCUCUACUGGAACGUGUACGCAAGAUCCUACUGCACUAUCAAGUCUUGGACAUGUAUUGGCCUCCAGAGGAGGUAAACAGCAUCAGCAAUAUGUUGAACAUCAGAGUGAAACUACACAUAUGGCACCAGAGGUGGACCGUCUUCAGGACAGGUUAAUAUUGAUCUCUGUGAGAAUUUUUGAUGAGAUGGAGUUCACCAUUGAAGAGGACGAAUGCAACAGUGUGAACAAUAGACUAUAUGAUUCGGAUAAUGAUGUGAAAAAUGUCCUACAAACAACGAAGCUCAGGGCUCCAGGAGUUGAUGAGGAAGACGUCUACGUACCAAUUAUUCCUCAGAGGUCCACAUCAUCUGAAUUAUUACUGGAAUGUGAAGAAGAGGAGCUGGAGCCAUGGCAGAAACACACUUCACAUGUUCAGUUGAAAGUUGAGGAUGAUGUUGGAGAGUUGAGUAUGUCACACCAAAUUCUUAAAGAACAUGUUGGUGUUAAGGAUUUCAAACAUCCGACUUUUGUUCUCCUUUUAAAGAGCAAAUAAAUGUUGAGUUGAAACAUGCCAUUAUUUAAACAUUUGACCUGCUACUGUUGGUUGAAUAUUGAUAGCUUACCAUAACAAUUAAACAUAUUUUUUUUAAAAGUAUUUGAUAGAUGGAUUGAGCUAAACUUCUGCUGUUGCACUUAUCUCACCUAAAAUAAAAAGACAAAAGUUGGACAUACUAUAAGGACUUUUUAAUCUGGUCAUGAAAGUCUCAAUUUAAUACUGAUGCCUCUAUUUGACCUAAAUUAACAAACAAGACCGUCAGUGAGAAUGUAUCCUUCCUCUUAAUAAUACCACCACCUUCCACCAGAUUGGAUGCGAUAGUAAAGGAGACAUUACCGCUUUUGCCCACAGAGGCCGCCAGACUCAACACAAAAUAAAAGUUCCUUGUAGCGGCUGUAACGUGAAUCUUAUUAAAGUGCCUGAUUUAGUCCUUUCUGUUCAUACAGGUAUCGACCAAAUAGAUUGUAAGCCAGAGCUUUCACUUCUUCAGAGAAAUGCAGGCUUCAUUAGAACUUCUCCUGAGUCAACAAGCAGUUCUGAGUUCAUUGGCUCCCUCAGGACACAUUGCCGUACUGGGAAUUCAUUUACAAUAGU
Dicentrarchus labrax (European seabass) is the source of this 3293-nucleotide RNA transcript. RefSeq lists it as uncharacterized. The record is from RefSeq and is a predicted model, not a curated record. Lineage: Eukaryota; Metazoa; Chordata; Actinopteri; Moronidae. The transcript has 11 exons.